AAUCCGUGAUGUCGGCAGCAUCUCAAAAGAUCCUUAAACCUCUCCCAUGCAUCGUACAUGCUCUCAUUAUCAAACUAUACGAAAGAAGAUAUGUCAUUUCUAAGUUU
Molecule: non-coding RNA, 107 nt
Organism: Ricinus communis (castor bean)
Lineage: Eukaryota; Viridiplantae; Streptophyta; Magnoliopsida; Malpighiales; Euphorbiaceae
Source: Rfam